GGUCCCGCCUGCCCUGUGACAUUAGUUUAACGGCCGCGGUAUUUUGACCGUGCAAAGGUAGCGUAAUCACUUGUCUUUUAAAUGGAGACCUGUAUGAAUGGCAUAACGAGGGCUUAACUGUCUCCUCUAUCUAGUCAAUGAAAUUGAUCUCCCCGUGCAGAAGCGGGGAUAAAACCAUAAGACGAGAAGACCCUAUGGAGCUUUAGACACCAGAACAGACUAUGUCAACUACCUUUAACACAAAAGUAAAACAAAAUACGUCCCUGUUCCAAUGUCUUCGGUUGGGGCGACCACGGGAUAAUAAAAACCUCCCGCGCGGAAUGGAAAUGCACCCUUCUACAACCAAGAGCCCCCGCUCUAAUUAACAGAACUUCUGACCAUAAAGAUCCGGCUAACGCCGAUCAACGGACCGAGUUACCCUAGGGAUAACAGCGCAAUCCCCUUCUAGAGUCCCUAUCGACAAGGGGGUUUACGACCUCGAUGUUGGAUCAGGACAUCCUAAUGGUGCAGCCGCUAUUAAGGGUUUGUUUGUUCAACAAUUAAAGUCCUACGUGAUC
RNAcentral lists this ribosomal RNA (557 nucleotides) under Chaenophryne longiceps (can-opener smoothdream). RNAcentral's name for it is "partial 16S ribosomal RNA". It matches the Rfam family "Bacterial large subunit ribosomal RNA", at positions 1851 to 2605 of the family's 2925-position model. The record is from RNAcentral. Lineage: Eukaryota; Metazoa; Chordata; Actinopteri; Lophiiformes; Oneirodidae.